This 497-nucleotide ribosomal RNA is filed under the name uncultured bacterium. RNAcentral's name for it is "partial 16S ribosomal RNA". It matches the Rfam family "Bacterial small subunit ribosomal RNA", at positions 28 to 507 of the family's 1533-position model. The record is from RNAcentral.
GAUGAACGCUGGCGGCGUGCCUAAUACAUGCAAGUCGAGCGAACGGACGAGGAGCUUGCUCCUCUGAUGUUAGCGGCGGACGGGUGAGUAACACGUGGAUAACCUACCUAUAAGACUGGGAUAACUUCGGGAAACCGGAGCUAAUACCGGAUAAUAUAUUGAACCGCAUGGUUCAAUAGUGAAAGACGGUUUUGCUGUCACUUAUAGAUGGAUCCGCGCCGCAUUAGCUAGUUGGUAAGGUAACGGCUUACCAAGGCAACGAUGCAUAGCCGACCUGAGAGGGUGAUCGGCCACACUGGAACUGAGACACGGUCCAGACUCCUACGGGAGGCAGCAGUAGGGAAUCUUCCGCAAUGGGCGAAAGCCUGACGGAGCAACGCCGCGUGAGUGAUGAAGGUCUUCGGAUCGUAAAACUCUGUUAUUAGGGAAGAACAUAUGUGUAAGUAACUAUGCACGUCUUGACGGUACCUAAUCAGAAAGCCACGGCUAACUACGUG